Molecule: ribosomal RNA, 452 nt
Filed under: uncultured bacterium
Lineage: Bacteria
Description: bacterial SSU rRNA
Rfam family: Bacterial small subunit ribosomal RNA
Source: RNAcentral
GAUGAACGCUGGCGGCGUGCAUAACACAUUCAAGUCGAACGAGGUAGCAAUACCUAGUGGCGGACGGGUGAGUUAACGCGUGAGCAACCUGCCCUUGUGUGGGGGAUACCGUCUGGAAACGGACGUUAAUACCGCAUAACAUAGCGGAAUCGCAUGGUUCUGCUAUCAAAGAUUUAUUGCGCAAGGAUGGGCUCGCGUUGGAUUAGAUAGUUGGUGAGGUAACGGCCCACCAAGUCUGCGAUCCAUAGCCGGACUGAGAGGUUGAACGGCCACAUUGGAACUGAGAUACGGUCCAGACUCCUACGGGAGGCAGCAGUGGGGAAUAUUGGGCAAUGGGCGAAAGCCUGACCCAGCGACGCCGCGUGAAGGAAGAAGGUCUUCGGAUUGUAAACUUCUUUUAUCAGGGACGAAUACUGACGGUACCUGAUGAAUAAGCCACGGCUAACUACGUG